CCUACGGGGGGCUGCAGUCGAGAAUCUUUCGCAAUGGGGGAAACCCUGACGAAGCGACGCCGCGUGCAGGAUUAAGGCCUUCGGGUUGUAAACUGCUGUCAGCAGGGGAGAAACGCUUUUGGUUAAUAACUAAAAGAAUUGACUGUACCUGCAGAGGAAGCCACGGCUAACUCUGUGCCAGCAGCCGCGGUAAUACAGAGGUGGCAAGCGUUGUUCGGAUUCAUUGGGCGUAAAGCGUUCGUAGGCGGUCCGUAAAGUCAGAUGUGAAAGCCCACGGCUUAACCGUGGAACUGCAUUUGAAACUCAUGGACUCGAGGGUAAGAGGGGUAGAAGGAAUUCCAAGUGUAAGGGUGAAAUCUGCAGAGAUUUGGAAGAACACCAGUCGCGAAGGCGUUCUACUGGCUUACUUCUGACGCUGAGGCCCGAAAGCUAGGGGAGCGAACGGGCUUAGAUACCCCAGUAGUC
RNAcentral lists this ribosomal RNA (465 nucleotides) under uncultured bacterium. Its description in RNAcentral is "bacterial SSU rRNA". It matches the Rfam family "Bacterial small subunit ribosomal RNA", at positions 338 to 795 of the family's 1533-position model. The record is from RNAcentral.